UGGGGAAUAUUGCGCAAUGGGCGAAAGCCUGACGCAGCGACGCCGCGUGGGUGAUGAAGGCCUUCGGGUCGUAAAGCCCUGUCGCCGGGGAAGAACAAGCAUCGGGAUAAUACCCCGGUACCCUUACGGUACCCUGCAAGAAAGCACCGGCUAACUCCGUGCCAGCAGCCGCGGUAAUACGGAGGGUGCGAGCGUUGUUCGGAAUUACUGGGCGUAAAGGGCGCGUAGGCGGCUUACCAAGUCAGGCGUGAAAUUCCCGGGCUCAACCUGGGGGCUGCGCUUGAUACUGGUGAGCUUGAAUGCGGGAGAGGAUAGUGGAAUUCCCAGUGUAGAGGUGAAAUUCGUAGAUAUUGGGAAGAACACCGGUGGCGAAGGCGGCUAUCUGGCCCGUUAUUGACGCUGAGGCGCGAAAGCGUGGGGAGCAAA
This 426-nucleotide ribosomal RNA is filed under the name uncultured bacterium. Its description in RNAcentral is "bacterial SSU rRNA". It matches the Rfam family "Bacterial small subunit ribosomal RNA", at positions 355 to 772 of the family's 1533-position model. The record is from RNAcentral.